AUUGAACGCUGGCGGCAGGCCUAACACAUGCAAGUCGAGCGCGAAAGGCUUUCGGGCUGAGUAGAGCGGCGGACGGGUGAGUAACGCGUAGGAAUCUACCUGGUAGUGGGGGACAACUUGGGGAAACUCAAGCUAAUACCGCAUACGCCCUAAGGGGGAAAGCGGGGGACCUUCGGGCCUCGCGCUAUCAGAUGAGCCUGCGUAGGAUUAGCUAGUUGGUGAGGUAAAGGCUCACCAAGGCGACGAUCCUUAGCUGGUCUGAGAGGAUGAUCAGCCACACUGGGACUGAGACACGGCCCAGACUCCUACGGGAGGCAGCAGUGGGGAAUAUUGCGCAAUGGGGGCAACCCUGACGCAGCCAUGCCGCGUGUGUGAAGAAGGCCUUCGGGUUGUAAAGCACUUUCAAUGGGGAAGAAAAGCGUAGCGUUAAUAGCGUUGCGCCGUGACGUAC
This 451-nucleotide ribosomal RNA is filed under the name uncultured bacterium. Its description in RNAcentral is "bacterial SSU rRNA". It matches the Rfam family "Bacterial small subunit ribosomal RNA", at positions 29 to 478 of the family's 1533-position model. The record is from RNAcentral.